RNAcentral lists this transfer RNA (19 nucleotides) under Eurylepis taeniolata (Alpine Punjab skink). RNAcentral's name for it is "partial tRNA-Met". Lineage: Eukaryota; Metazoa; Chordata; Lepidosauria; Squamata; Scincidae. The record is from RNAcentral.
CUAGUAAGGUCAGCUAAUU